CAGCAGCCGCGGUAAAACGGAGGGGGCUAGCGUUGUUCGGAAUUACUGGGCGUAAAGCGCACGUAGGCGGCUUGGUAAGUUAGAGGUGAAAGCCUGGAGCUCAACUCCAGAAUUGCCUUUAAGACUGCCGAGCUAGCAGGUGAGAGAGGUAAGUGGAAUUCCGAGUGUAGAGGUGAAAUUCGUAGAUAUUCGGAAGAACACCAGUGGCGAAGGCGGCUUACUGGCUCAUACUGGACGCUGAGGUGCGAAAGCGUGGGGAGCAAACAGGAUUAGAUACCCCGGUAGUCCCUGUCUCUUAUAC
This 301-nucleotide ribosomal RNA is filed under the name uncultured bacterium. Its description in RNAcentral is "partial 16S ribosomal RNA". It matches the Rfam family "Bacterial small subunit ribosomal RNA", at positions 509 to 807 of the family's 1533-position model. The record is from RNAcentral.